This is a long non-coding RNA of Haliotis rubra (blacklip abalone), 98 nucleotides long. RefSeq lists it as uncharacterized. The transcript has 3 exons. The record is from RefSeq and is a predicted model, not a curated record. NCBI's taxonomy places the organism in Eukaryota, Metazoa, Mollusca, Gastropoda, Lepetellida, Haliotidae.
CAUAAUAAGAUAUAAAUAAAAGCAUGCUUACUCGUAAAAUCCGGCAAAACUUAGAAAAAGUACGACCAGCUGCUGAAAACAAUAGAUCAGACUAUAGA